RNAcentral lists this long non-coding RNA (823 nucleotides) under Gallus gallus (chicken). Its description in RNAcentral is "lncRNA (ENSGALG00010001014.1)". The record is from RNAcentral. Lineage: Eukaryota; Metazoa; Chordata; Aves; Galliformes; Phasianidae.
UUACUGCUAAGUGGUUUACAGAGCCAAAACCAUUCUCAGCGAAGUGCCCAAGGAGCUGGGAGGGAACAGAAUUAGAACAGCUGACUUUCACUGGUUAGAGGGAUAUCUCAUACCAUAUGACAUCCAGCAGAAGGAGUUUUGAAGGAGGUAGGAGUUCAUCUCUCUCUUCUGCUGCUCGGGAGGCUAGCUGGGAAUCAAUCGUCUGUCUCAGGUACUGCAAUUGGUGGAUGGAAUAAGGACUUGUUAUGGGAGUCUUUUGGAGUGUAGCAAGCAAUACCUAUGUACAAAUAGUUACAAGAUUUGAAGCUCCAAAACAGCAAGCCAGCGAGGAUGAUUAUCUCAUUCAUUUCCUGUAGUUGCUGACAAGUUGGUCCAAUGGACACUCACAUAGGAACAGAAAGAAGACUAUAUGCAAGUUUCUCAGGACCUAUGGAACAAAUAAGAGGUUGCAGGUGGAAGUUUCCUGGAUUGCAUCAUUACCAGUGAUGACAUGUGGUGUCACCCCUAAGAGCUGGAGUCAAAACAGUAGUCCAUGAAGUGCCAGCACGUGAAUUCCCAUCAAGAAAAAAAGUACAAGAGUCAACCUCAGCAGGCUCCCUACAAGUAUUGGAAGGCCACAGUGAGGUUUCCCAGGAGACUUCUCCAAGCUAAACAAGCCCAGUUCCCUCAACCUUUCCUCACAGGAGAGGGGCUCCAGCCCUCUGAUCAUCUCUGUGGCCCUCCUCCAAACCCGCUCCAAGAACUCCAUGUCCUUCCUGUACUGGGGACCCCAGGCCUGGACACAGUACUCCAGAUGGGGCCUCACAAGACCCGAGUAGAGGGG